Molecule: ribosomal RNA, 401 nt
Filed under: uncultured bacterium
Lineage: Bacteria
Description: bacterial SSU rRNA
Rfam family: Bacterial small subunit ribosomal RNA
Source: RNAcentral
UAGGAAUCUUGCGCAAUGGGCGAAAGCCUGACGCAGCAACGCCGCGUGGGGGAAGAAGGCCUUCGGGUUGUAAACCCCUUUCAGUGGGGACGAAAAUGACGGUACCCACAGAAGAAGCCCCGGCCAACUACGUGCCAGCAGCCGCGGUGACACGUAGGGGGCAAGCGUUGUCCGGAUUUAUUGGGCGUAAAGGGCUCGUAGGCGGUUCGGCAAGUCGGGUGUGAAACCUCCAGGCUCAACCUGGAGCCGCCACCCGAAACUGCUGUGACUUGAGUCCGGUAGGGGAGCAUGGAAUUCCUGGUGUAGCGGUGGAAUGCGCAGAUAUCAGGAGGAACACCAGUGGCGAAGGCGAUGCUCUGGGCCGGUACUGACGCUGAGUAGCGAAAGCAUGGGGAGCGAAC